AUGUGUAACAUUCAAUGAAAAACUUGUCUACUACACUGUACAUGUAGUAUCAUCUGCCUGUAACUGAUGAACAGUUUGUUUCAUCCGAGAGCCAUUUUCCAAAACACUAUGCACAGUAGAAUGAACAAAACUUUAACGAAAAUGUUCUUAAGAGAGCUGUGCUGCUCUACCAGUUUUUAACUGUCCCUUUAAAGACCUCAUCCAUGAGGGGUUGGUUAUCAACUCCCGUGCCCAUCCAUCCUUCCAUGACGAACCCGCCCGAUCCGGUUACAGCCAGGGCGAGAGUUGAAGAGCAGCCACGAACCUGUCAGUCCAAGCCAAACGAACAAAAAAUCCUACAAAGACACUCCCCCUGUGAGGCUUGUCUGAACAAUUGCCUCCAGCUUACAAAUCUCCAUUCUCGCCUCCUGCUACAAAUCUAUCUCCGUCGUCGGUCUAAGUUUCCAGGGAACCUUCUGAUGAGUACUCUGGUCCUUCAAGGCAGAUGAGCCACCUGUUAAGGUCUGAAGGCCGGUCCGGUGUGAUUGAUGACACCAUGGAUGCUUUGCCUGUCUGCAUGCACUUGGCUGCUCGGGGAUGCUGUGGAGGCCUGUGCUGGGUCAGGUCUAAUGAGAGCUUUGUGUCAACAACUGAGGAAAGACAGCUUUGACGGACAGACAGGCCUCUCAGACUUCCAAGUGUUGGGGCAGACUCAAGCUGGUUUGUGCAGUGGAAUGCGGGAACCUUUUGUUGCCACAGUUAUCAGAGUUUAGAUUGAGAAACAACUCUGCUGAAACUGGCUCUACAGUACAGCGCUAGAUAAUGAUUGAUUGACAAAUUAAACUGCUUGAUUGAUUAGCAGGUGCUGUAAAAUUGAAAUUGACUGAUUCAUUGACCACAGAGUCAUUAAGUGAUCUAGCUGACUGGCAGAAUUGGCUGAUGGACAGACUGACUGAUUUAGGGGUUAUGUGGUGUUUCUACAACAGGGGAAACUGCUGUGUGCUACAUGAGCUUGCAAACAACAAUAUCCUAAUUAAUGGCUGAUUGACAAAUUAAACUGCUUGAUUGAUUAGUAGAGCUGUAAAAUUGAAAUUGACUGAUUGAUUGACCACGGAGUGAUCUAGCUGACUGGCGGAAUUGGCUGAUGGACUGACUGACUGAUUUAGGGGUUAUAAGUUUCCAUGAUGGUAGGCAACUCCUGUGUGCUACAAUGUACAUGACCUUGCGCACAAUUUCCUGUACACUCACUUUACAUGCACACUGUCAGGGAAAAGCUAUGCAAGAGCUAAGAACUGACUUACAUGUAUGACUGACUUAAAUGAAUGGCACUGUUUUGAUUGUAAUUUUAAAUAACAAAUUACAAGUUACAGGCAUGCAACUUGGGCAUUGACAGAACAAAUGAGGAAUGUCCAAUCUUUACAUGACUUUGUACAGUGUUUUCAAUUAUUAAU
This is a long non-coding RNA of Acanthaster planci (crown-of-thorns starfish), 1430 nucleotides long. RefSeq lists it as uncharacterized. NCBI's taxonomy places the organism in Eukaryota, Metazoa, Echinodermata, Asteroidea, Valvatida, Acanthasteridae. The record is from RefSeq and is a predicted model, not a curated record.